UUUUGCUAGGGGUGCCUCUGAUUUAUCAGAUGCUGAGAGGGAAUUUUCCUAACCCUUUGAACUUGAUGUGGUUAGUACCAACGCAGGGAAGCUGUUAAUAA
Molecule: non-coding RNA, 101 nt
Filed under: chicken gut metagenome
Description: TPP riboswitch (THI element)
Rfam family: TPP riboswitch aptamer (THI element)
About the family: Vitamin B(1) in its active form thiamin pyrophosphate (TPP) is an essential coenzyme that is synthesised by coupling of pyrimidine and thiazole moieties in bacteria. The previously detected thiamin-regulatory element, thi box was extended, resulting in a new, highly conserved RNA secondary structure, the THI element, which is widely distributed in eubacteria and also occurs in some archaea.
Source: RNAcentral